RNAcentral lists this ribosomal RNA (440 nucleotides) under uncultured bacterium. RNAcentral's name for it is "partial 16S ribosomal RNA". It matches the Rfam family "Bacterial small subunit ribosomal RNA", at positions 338 to 795 of the family's 1533-position model. The record is from RNAcentral.
CCUACGGGAGGCAGCAGUGGGGAAUAUUGCACAAUGGGGGAAACCCUGAUGCAGCGACGCCGCGUGAGUGAAGAAGUAAUUCGUUAUGUAAAGCUCUAUCAGCAGGGAAGAAAAUGACGGUACCUGAGUAAGAAGCCCCGGCUAACUACGUGCCAGCAGCCGCGGUAAUACGUAGGGGGCAAGCGUUAUCCGGAUUUACUGGGUGUAAAGGGUGCGUAGACGGCAGUGCAAGUCUGGAGUUAAAGGCGGGGGCUCAACCCCCGGACUGCUCUGGAAACUGUACGGCUGGAGUGCAGGAGAGGUAAGUGGAAUUCCUAGUGUAGCGGUGAAAUGCGUAGAUAUUAGGAGGAACACCAGUGGCGAAGGCGGCUUACUGGACUGUAACUGACGUUGAGGCUCGAAAGCGUGGGGAGCAAACAGGAUUAGAUACCCCUGUAGUG